Cinara cedri is the source of this 226-nucleotide non-coding RNA. The record is from the annotation of a GenBank genome assembly. Lineage: Eukaryota; Metazoa; Arthropoda; Insecta; Hemiptera; Aphididae.
CAAUAAAUCGUGCGCUGUGUCGUCGGUAUACACACGUAUAUUAAGUGGACGUGGGUGGGCAGAGGAUAUUACCACUUACACGCUUAUAAAUAUAUAAUGUACGUCAUAUAUAAUACAGUUCAUGACCAGUGUGUAAACCCAACAAUAUCUUACUGCUCAAGGUACGAACAAAUACGCAUAAUAUUAUUAUUAUAAUAUAUAGAAGCUUAUUAUCAUACUGCAGGCG